AUGGCCGCGUCAGUCGUACUGUGAAGCAUCCUGUUAAGUCAGGCAACGAGCGAGACCCACGCCCACAGUUGCCAGCGUACUCUCUGGAGUGACGGGUACACUGUGGGGACCGCCGCUGCUAAAGCGGAGGAAGGAAUGGGCAACGGUAGGUCAGUAUGCCCCGAAUAUCCCGGGCUACACGCGAGCUACAAUGGUUGGUACAAUGGGUAUCUACCCCGAAAGGGGACGGGAAUCUCCUAAAACCAAUCUUAGUUCGGAUUGAGGGCUGCAACUCGCCCUCAUGAAGCUGGAAUCCGUAGUAAUCGCGUUUCAACAGAACGCGGUGAAUACGUCCCUGCUCCUU
Molecule: ribosomal RNA, 343 nt
Filed under: uncultured Methanosaeta sp.
Lineage: Archaea; Methanobacteriati; Methanobacteriota; Methanomicrobia; Methanotrichales; Methanotrichaceae
Description: bacterial SSU rRNA
Rfam family: Archaeal small subunit ribosomal RNA
Source: RNAcentral